UCCUUGAAGUCUCUAAAUGCCAUAAGGAGA
RNAcentral lists this non-coding RNA (30 nucleotides) under Rattus norvegicus (Norway rat). Lineage: Eukaryota; Metazoa; Chordata; Mammalia; Rodentia; Muridae. The record is from RNAcentral.